RNAcentral lists this transfer RNA (75 nucleotides) under bacterium. RNAcentral's name for it is "tRNA-Asp". It matches the Rfam family "tRNA". Rfam says of the family: Transfer RNA (tRNA) molecules are approximately 80 nucleotides in length. Their secondary structure includes four short double-helical elements and three loops (D, anti-codon, and T loops). Further hydrogen bonds mediate the characteristic L-shaped molecular structure. tRNAs have two regions of fundamental functional importance: the anti-codon, which is responsible for specific mRNA codon recognition, and the 3' end, to which the tRNAs corresponding amino acid is attached (by aminoacyl-tRNA synthetases). tRNAs cope with the degeneracy of the genetic code in two manners: having more than one tRNA (with a specific anti-codon) for a particular amino acid; and 'wobble' base-pairing, i.e. permitting non-standard base-pairing at the 3rd anti-codon position. The record is from RNAcentral.
GCGGGCGUAGCUUAGCUGGUUUAAAGCGCUGCCCUGUCACGGCAGAGAUCACCGGUUCGAAUCCGGCCGCCCGCG